CUUCGGAGGUACUCGAGUGGCGAACGGGUGAGUAACACGUGGGUAAUCUGCCCUGCACUUCGGGAUAAGCCUGGGAAACUGGGUCUAAUACCGAAUACGACCAUUUAGCGCAUGCUUUAUGGUGGAAAGCUUUUGCGGUGUGGGAUGGGCCCGCGGCCUAUCAGCUUGUUGGUGGGGUGACGGCCUACCAAGGCGACGACGGGUAGCCGGCCUGAGAGGGUGUCCGGCCACACUGGGACUGAGAUACGGCCCAGACUCCUACGGGAGGCAGCAGUGGGGAAUAUUGCACAAUGGGCGCAAGCCUGAUGCAGCGACGCCGCGUGGGGGAUGAAGGCCUUCGGGUUGUAAACCUCUUUCAGCAGGGACGAAGCGCAAGUGACGGUACCUGCAGAAGAAGCACCGGCCAACUACGUGCCAGCAGCCGCGGUAAUACGUAGGGUGCGAGCGUUGUCCGGAAUUACUGGGCGUAAAGAGCUCGUAGGUGGUUUGUCGCGUUGUUCGUGAAAACCGGGGGCUUAACCCUCGGCGUGCGGGCGAUACGGGCAGACUGGAGUACUGCAGGGGAGACUGGAAUUCCUGGUGUAGCGGUGGAAUGCGCAGAUAUCAGGAGGAACACCGGUGGCGAAGGCGGGUCUCUGGGCAGUAACUGACGCUGAGGAGCGAAAGCGUGGGGAGCGAACAGGAUUAGAUACCCUGGUAGUCCACGCCGUAAACGGUGGGUACUAGGUGUGGGUUUCCUUCCUUGGAAUCCGUGCCGUAGCUAACGCAUUAAGUACCCCGCCUGGGGAGUACGGCCGCAAGGCUAAAACUCAAAGGAAUUGACGGGGGCCCGCACAAGCGGCGGAGCAUGUGGAUUAAUUCGAUGCAA
This 868-nucleotide ribosomal RNA is filed under the name Mycobacterium sp. STR-6. RNAcentral's name for it is "bacterial SSU rRNA". It matches the Rfam family "Bacterial small subunit ribosomal RNA", at positions 78 to 959 of the family's 1533-position model. Lineage: Bacteria; Bacillati; Actinomycetota; Actinomycetes; Mycobacteriales; Mycobacteriaceae. The record is from RNAcentral. RNAcentral also lists the same sequence under 1 other name.